This 24-nucleotide non-coding RNA is filed under the name Arabidopsis thaliana (thale cress). Lineage: Eukaryota; Viridiplantae; Streptophyta; Magnoliopsida; Brassicales; Brassicaceae. The record is from RNAcentral.
ACCAGAAUUUCUCUCCACCGUCCU